This 491-nucleotide ribosomal RNA is filed under the name uncultured bacterium. RNAcentral's name for it is "partial 16S ribosomal RNA". It matches the Rfam family "Bacterial small subunit ribosomal RNA", at positions 29 to 507 of the family's 1533-position model. The record is from RNAcentral.
AGUGAACGCUGGCGGUAGGCCUAACACAUGCAAGUCGAACGGCAGCACAGUAAGAGCUUGCUCUUACGGGUGGCGAGUGGCGGACGGGUGAGGAAUACAUCGGAAUCUACUUUUUCGUGGGGGAUAACGUAGGGAAACUUACGCUAAUACCGCAUACGACUACGGGUGAAAGCAGGGGAUCUUCGGACCUUGCGCGAUUAAAUGAGCCGAUGUCGGAUUAGCUAGUUGGCGGGGUAAAGGCCCACCAAGGCGACGAUCCGUAGCUGGUCUGAGAGGAUGAUCAGCCACACUGGAACUGAGACACGGUCCAGACUCCUACGGGAGGCAGCAGUGGGGAAUAUUGGACAAUGGGCGCAAGCCUGAUCCAGCCAUACCGCGUGGGUGAAGAAGGCCUUCGGGUUGUAAAGCCCUUUUGUUGGGAAAGAAAAGCAGCAGGUUAAUACCCCGCUGUUCUGACGGUACCCAAAGAAUAAGCACCGGCUAACUUCGUG